RNAcentral lists this ribosomal RNA (291 nucleotides) under uncultured bacterium. Its description in RNAcentral is "partial 16S ribosomal RNA". It matches the Rfam family "Archaeal small subunit ribosomal RNA", at positions 456 to 747 of the family's 1478-position model. The record is from RNAcentral.
GUCCAGCAGCGCGGUAAUACCGGCAGCCCGAGUGAUGGCCGAUCUUAUUGGGCCUAAAGCGUCCGUAGCUGGCCGCGCAAGUCCAUCGGGAAAUCCACCCGCCCAACGGGUGGCCGUCCGGUGGAAACUGCACGGCUUGGGACCGGAAGGCGCGACGGGUACGUCCAGGGUAGGAGUGAAAUCCCGUAAUCCUGGACGGACCGCCGAUGGCGAAAGCACGUCGCGAGAACGGAUCCGACAGUGAGGGACGAAAGCUAGGGUCUCGAACCGGAUUAGAUACCCCUGUAGUCC